Molecule: ribosomal RNA, 494 nt
Filed under: uncultured bacterium
Lineage: Bacteria
Description: partial 16S ribosomal RNA
Rfam family: Bacterial small subunit ribosomal RNA
Source: RNAcentral
GAACGCUGGCGGCGUGCCUAAUACAUGCAAGUUGAGCGAUGAAGAUUGGUGCUUGCACCAAUUUGAAGAGCAGCGAACGGGUGAGUAACGCGUGGGGAAUCUGCCUUUGAGCGGGGGACAACAUUUGGAAACGAAUGCUAAUACCGCAUAACAACUUUAAACAUAAGUUUUAAGUUUGAAAGAUGCAAUUGCAUCACUCAAAGAUGAUCCCGCGUUGUAUUAGCUAGUUGGUGAGGUAAAGGCUCACCAAGGCGAUGAUACAUAGCCGACCUGAGAGGGUGAUCGGCCACAUUGGGACUGAGACACGGCCCAAACUCCUACGGGAGGCGGCAGUAGGGAAUCUUCGGCAAUGGACGAAAGUCUGACCGAGCAACGCCGCGUGAGUGAAGAAGGUUUUCGGAUCGUAAAACUCUGUUGGUAGAGAAGAACGUUGGUGAGAGUGGAAAGCUCAUCAAGUGACGGUAACUACCCAGAAAGGGACGGCUAACUACGUG